AUAGCUGAUGCCAUUGGACUUAGACGCCCACUUUACGAGUAUGCACCAUUUGGACACAUCCGACCUAUGGACAUUGAAUUUUGCUUUAACCGUAGAAUCAUAGGAAACCUUGGGCCGGAUACUUUUGAUUACCUCAUUAACAACGAAGUUGUCCGACUAUUUACCCUGCCUAACCAUGAGAGAACAAGUGUUCAUAACCGCAAUAACUGGCUUUAUGAUUUAGAUGAACACCCAAUUGAUCCACCUUCACCUCCUGAGACACCGCCUAUAUAUGAGUAUUUCAAUGACCCUAUCCAUGUUGAUGAAUCUGACCCUGAAACACCUCCAAACU
Molecule: long non-coding RNA, 331 nt
Filed under: Lathyrus oleraceus (garden pea)
Lineage: Eukaryota; Viridiplantae; Streptophyta; Magnoliopsida; Fabales; Fabaceae
Description: Pisum sativum (pea) long non-coding RNA (PSAT_LNC008307)
Source: RNAcentral